This 300-nucleotide ribosomal RNA is filed under the name uncultured bacterium. Its description in RNAcentral is "bacterial SSU rRNA". It matches the Rfam family "Bacterial small subunit ribosomal RNA", at positions 497 to 795 of the family's 1533-position model. The record is from RNAcentral.
CAACUUGGGUGCGCGUGGGCGCGGUAACACGUUGGGUUCGAGGGUGGUGUGGAAUUAGUGAGUGUAAAGGUGGGCUGGGGGGUGGGUGGCGUCGGCCGUGAAAACUUGCAGCUUAACUGAGGGCGUGCGGUCGAUACGGGCAUCUCUGGAGUGCGGCAGGGGAGACUGGAAUUCCUGGUGUAGCGGUGAAAUGCGCAGAUAUCAGGAGGAACACCGGUGGCGAAGGCGGGUCUCUGGGCCGAUACUGACGCUGAGGAGCGAAAGCGUGGGGAGCGAACAGGAUUAGAUACCCUGGUAGUC